RNAcentral lists this ribosomal RNA (503 nucleotides) under uncultured bacterium. RNAcentral's name for it is "partial 16S ribosomal RNA". It matches the Rfam family "Bacterial small subunit ribosomal RNA", at positions 28 to 523 of the family's 1533-position model. The record is from RNAcentral.
GAUAAACGCUAGCGGCAGGCCUAACACAUGCAAGUCGAGGGGUAGCAGGAUUAAGCUUGCUUAAUUGCUGACGACCGGCGCACGGGUGCGUAACGCGUAUGCAACCUACCUUAUACUGGGGUAUAGCCCGGAGAAAUUCGGAUUAAUCCCCCAUAGUACUAAUGAAUCGCAUGGUUUAUUAGUUAAAGCAUUGCGGUAUAAGAUGGGCAUGCGUCCUAUUGGCUAGAUGGUGAGGUAACGGCGCACCAUGGCUAGGAGAGGUAGGGGGCCUGGGAGGGUGGUCCCCCACACUGGGACGGAGACACGGACCAGACGCCUACGGGAGGCAGCAGUGAGGAAUAUUGGUCAAUGGGCGCAAGCCUGAACCAGCCAUGCCGCGUGCAGGAAGAAUGCCCUAUGGGUUGUAAACUGCUUUUAUUUGGGAAUAAACCUCUUUACGUGUAGAGAGCUGAAGGUACCAAAUGAAUAAGCACCGGCUAACUCCGUGCCAGCAGCCGCCGUAA